GUAAAUAAAAAGGAGAUAAAAGAAAAAGAAAGAUAGAAAAGAACAUAGAAGCUCACGAAACAGAGAAAGAAAGGAAAGGAAGAAAAAAAAAGGAAAAAAUUGGAGAAUUGAAGCUUGAAAGUUAAAUUGCAAACAGAGGAAUCGAGGCAUCCAAUACAAAGGGGAAAGAGAAAGUAGUCGAGGAAUAGCUCGGGGAAAAUUGAUUAGGUAAAAUAGAGUCCGAUUCUGCAUUCAAAAUCAUCUCCGACUCCAGCUCAUUUUGUUUUAAAAAACUUAUCUUUUGGUAAUGUGGCAUGUACUAGGUUUUAGGUGGUCAUUUGUAUAUAUUUAAUGUUUUGAAUGUAAAAGAUGGUGUAUAAACUUUAAGGAGUUUGACGUAUAAAGGGACGAUUCCUAAGUUUAUGAAA
This is a long non-coding RNA of Gossypium arboreum, 407 nucleotides long. RefSeq lists it as uncharacterized. NCBI's taxonomy places the organism in Eukaryota, Viridiplantae, Streptophyta, Magnoliopsida, Malvales, Malvaceae. The record is from RefSeq and is a predicted model, not a curated record. The transcript is spliced from 3 exons.